RNAcentral lists this ribosomal RNA (460 nucleotides) under uncultured bacterium. RNAcentral's name for it is "partial 16S ribosomal RNA". It matches the Rfam family "Bacterial small subunit ribosomal RNA", at positions 338 to 795 of the family's 1533-position model. The record is from RNAcentral.
CCUACGGGGGGCAGCAGUGAGGAAUAUUGGUCAAUGGACGAGAGUCUGAACCAGCCAAGUAGCGUGAAGGAUGACUGCCCUAUGGGUUGUAAACUUCUUUUAUAAAGGAAUAAAACGAGGCACGUGUGCCUUUUUGCAUGUACUUUAUGAAUAAGGAUCGGCUAACUCCGUGCCAGCAGCCGCGGUAAUACGGAGGAUCCGAGCGUUAUCCGGAUUUAUUGGGUUUAAAGGGGGCGUAGACGGGUUGUUAAGUCAGUUGUGAAAGUGUGGGGCUCAACCGUAAAAUUGCAAUUGAUACUGGCAGUCUUGAGUACAGUUGAGGUAGGCGGAAUUCGUGGUGUAGCGGUGAAAUGCUUAGAUAUCACGAAGAACCCCGAUUGCGAAGGCAGCUUACUAAACUGUGACUGACAUUGAUGCUCGAAAGUGUGGGUAUCGAACAGGAUUAGAUACCCUUGUAGUC